This 81-nucleotide transfer RNA is filed under the name Micromonospora phaseoli. Its description in RNAcentral is "tRNA-Ser". Lineage: Bacteria; Bacillati; Actinomycetota; Actinomycetes; Micromonosporales; Micromonosporaceae. The record is from RNAcentral.
GCGGCCGGCUGGUCGGAUCUGGUCGCGGCCGAGCGGCUGCUGGCCGGUCUGGGUCUGGUCCCGCUGCCGGUCCCGCCGUAC